RNAcentral lists this ribosomal RNA (498 nucleotides) under uncultured bacterium. RNAcentral describes it as "partial 16S ribosomal RNA". It matches the Rfam family "Bacterial small subunit ribosomal RNA", at positions 30 to 523 of the family's 1533-position model. The record is from RNAcentral.
AUUGAACGCUGGCGGCAUGCCUUACACAUGCAAGUCGAACGGUAACAGGUCUUCGGAUGUUGACGAGUGGCGAACGGGUGAGUAAUACAUCGGAACGUGCCUAGUAGUGGGGGAUAACUACUCGAAAGAGUGGCUAAUACCGCAUGAGAUCUACGGAUGAAAGCAGGGGAUCGCAAGACCUUGUGCUACUAGAGCGGCCGAUGGCGGAUUAGGUAGUUGGUGGGAUAAAAGCUUACCAAGCCGACGAUCUGUAGCUGGUCUGAGAGGACGAUCAGCCACACUGGGACUGAGACACGGCCCAGACUCCUACGGGAGGCAGCAGUGGGGAAUUUUGGACAAUGGGCGCAAGCCUGAUCCAGCAAUGCCGCGUGCAGGAUGAAGGCCUUCGGGUUGUAAACUGCUUUUGUACGGAACGAAAAGCCCCGGGUUAAUACCCUGGGGUCGUGACGGUACCGUAAGAAUAAGCACCGGCUAACUACGUGCCAGCCGCCGCCGUAA